CAUCAUUAAAUAAAAUUGUCUGAAAUUAAAGGGAACCUUAGAGACCGACCCUUAUCUUCCUCGUACUUGUUUUAUCCGCCACCAUCCGCCUUGCUGCCGCCGACCGAAAAUCGUCUCCGGCGGCCAAAAAAUGGUCUCCGCUGGCGGCGAAGCUCCAAACCCGCCCAAAUUUACACCCUUGAAUCCCCUCCUCCUCUUUCCAAAGCCCCAAAUACCAACCUUCGAAUCCCAGCCGAACUCGUCGAAUAUCCAAAACAGUGACACUGCCUCUGCCGCCCAUGGCGGCGCCACCAUCCAAACGACCCCAAUUUUACACCAUAGCCCCGUUUUCAUCUUCCCAAGCCAUAUCCAACCUUAUCUUCCCUCCAAUAUUAGCUAGUUCCUUCGAAUUUCAAAAUCGAAAUCUGGUCCAAUACACCAAUUCACCCAAAUCCGACCAAAUUUACACCCCGGAUUUAUCCUGAUUCUCCCCAAAUCUCAAACUAAUUUCCUUCAAACCUGACUAGAACCCUUCGAAUAUCAAAUAAAAGGUUCGAACCCUAAAAAGCCUAAAAUCAAGGUUAUGCAUGCAGGGGAAAGUUUUAAUCUCCUAAGGUUUUAGGGCCGAUUUCAUUGCGAAAUAAUGUCAGUCACCUGUUCUUGACAGGGAAUAGAUGAUUGACAUUGUUUUGCGGUGAAAUUGAGAAGUUCAGUCCGGUCCGAGGGUUGUAAUGGGUGAGUUUCCCAUUAUCCUUUCUGUUUUGUUUGGUUUCACAUUUGUUUCCCAGUUCUUUUGGUUCUAUUUUUUUUUCAACUGUUCCUUUUUCUAAUUUAGCGUAAGGAAAGUUUCAAUUUCGGAAUUUAGGUUUUUCUUAUCUUUUUCCUUUCAUUAAUGGUUCAAUAUUCAUGUGGUGUAGGGCUUUCUAGGUCCUCUUUUGAUUGAUUUCGUUUUGUUAAUUUUUUUGCCAUAAUUGUUUUAGAUUAGUUGUGUUAGAUACCCGAUUAUAGUUUCAAUCUUCACGUUAAAUGUUAAAACUUCUUCCCCUAGUGCUGUUUUCACCUUUGAAAUCCGUUUAAUGUUUAUUCUAUUUUGAUUUGAGUUUUGUGUGGGCUUAUUAGAGACUGGGUUUGUUUGCUGUUAUUUUUUUGCAUUUCAUUUGGUUUUGUGCAUUUUGCUAUUUUGUUGCAGUAUAGUUUCAUGUUUGAGUUUUGAAUUGUUCACUUAUUGUUUUACUAGUUUAAUGAUAAAAUUAUUCUUAGGUUACAUAUCAAGUUCAAUAUAGGUUAUGAGAUUAUUAGUUCAACUGUAGUUUUUUUUUAUUAUUAUUAUUGAAAUUGGUUGGAUACUACUCAACAUUUCCAGCCCCUUGAUUAAUUAACUGUGGUCAUCUUUGACCAGGUAUAAAAGGGCUGGAUUUAACUAACUUGGGCAAGUAACUCCUGAAUUUAAUCAAGGGUAGUUUAGGAACUCUAGCUUAAAGAAUCAUUAGUGCCACUAAUCUAGAAGCUUCUAAGUCAAAGCUCGAAUAGUAAUUUGUAAUUAUUGGUACCAUUCCUUGAGUAACAAGGAAUAAAUAAACAGACCAAUGAGCUAAAAUCUGAAAAAUAAAAUAGGGACUAAGAGGUAUAAUAAAAAUAAGAAGGUUGCCCUAAGCUCUGCCUAUAAAAAGGCAUACCAUAAGGAACAACUUUUGAACCAUGAAAAAUUCCCAAAAGGUUCCAGCUCUGAAAAUUUUCCCAAAAACACUCCUAAUUCAAAUCUCUACAAUUCAAAAUUAAGAAUCCAAAUAAAAAACGUGUUAGUCUGAAAAUCUCAAAGCUUUUUCCCAUUUAACUAUAUCAUUCAGAUCCUUAGAAAUAAAAACAAAAACAAAAACUCCAAAAUAGGCUGUUCUAUUGAAGUUUUAAAUCAAUUUCGAGUUCUAGAGUUUGAUUUGCAUCAUUUAGCCUAGGAUUUGGUUGCUGAAGUUUUCUGGAGUUUUCAUGGGUUAAUUUCGAGUUUUUUUGAGUUCAACCAAGGCUAUUAUUGGUUAUUUUGGGUUGAUGCAAUUUUUGCUUCCAAACUAAUCCUACUAUUGUGUUGCUGUUGCGUUUCAACUGUUUGUUUCUCAUUGUUGACUCAUUUCUCUUCAUUUUGACUUAACCCAGGUACUCAUUCUGCUAUUGCGCUGCUGCAUAACUCUAUUUAAGAGUGAAAUGAAGACUAUGCAUGAAUUCUCAUGUUCAACUCUGUUUAAUUGGUUUACUGUAGUCCCAUUAGUCCUCCUCUUUAUCUAGUAGCUGAUUUGGAACUGAGAUAUGUAAUUAUUGUACUAGGAACCAGUUUGUUAGAAUUAUAAUUGUUUAACCGGACUAUACGGACGAUUACUUUCAGAUCUAUGUGGACAUUGUGAGUAAGAUGCUAGCUAUAGACAAUUUCAGUUUAAGCUAUUAGAAUAGUUUGUAAUUUGGAUCCAUGUUGUUUGCUUGAUGAUAUUAGCCCUAUUAUGUUUAUCAAAUGCUUAGGAUUGUCUAUCAAAUGGUAUAGUGUCCACACCGUAUGUCUGUUUGAAAUUGAUGCAGGAACCAGUUACGAUUUCCAAUAUUAAAUUUCUAUUUCGAGUCUAUAAUGCUACAAGCACGUGAA
Molecule: long non-coding RNA, 2605 nt
Filed under: Nicotiana benthamiana
Lineage: Eukaryota; Viridiplantae; Streptophyta; Magnoliopsida; Solanales; Solanaceae
Description: long non-coding RNA (NBEN_LNC011936)
Source: RNAcentral